This 61-nucleotide transfer RNA is filed under the name Acanthogammarus victorii. Its description in RNAcentral is "tRNA-Lys". The record is from RNAcentral. Lineage: Eukaryota; Metazoa; Arthropoda; Malacostraca; Amphipoda; Acanthogammaridae.
AACUAAGUGGCCGAAUAAGGCCUAAGUCUUUUAAACUUAUUAUAGUAUAUACUCUUAGUGA